Molecule: ribosomal RNA, 1514 nt
Filed under: Buchnera aphidicola (Nippolachnus piri)
Lineage: Bacteria; Pseudomonadati; Pseudomonadota; Gammaproteobacteria; Enterobacterales; Erwiniaceae
Description: bacterial SSU rRNA
Rfam family: Bacterial small subunit ribosomal RNA
Source: RNAcentral
CACUAGUGAUUAGUUUGAUCAUGGCUCAGAUUGAACGCUGGCGGCAAGCUUAACACAUGCAAGUCGUGCGGCAUCGUGAAAUUUUUUUUUUAAAAUUUUGACGGCGAGCGGCGAACGGGUGAGUAAUAUCUGGGGAUCUACCUAAAUGAGGGGGAUAACCAUUGGAAACGGUGGCUAAUACCGCAUAAAGUUUUAGAACCAAAGUGGGGGACUUUUAAAAAGCCUCACGCAUUUAGAUGAACCCAGAUGAGAUUAGCUAGAUGGUAAGAUAAUAGCUUACCAUGGCGACGAUCUCUAGCUGGUCUGAGAGGAUGGCCAGCCACACUGGAACUGAGAUACGGUCCAGACUCUUACGGGAGGCAGCAGUGGGGAAUAUUGCACAAUGGGCGAAAGCCUGAUGCAGCUAUGCCGCGUGUAUGAAGAAGGCCUUCGGGUUGUAAAGUACUUUCAGUAGGGAAGAAAUUAUUUAGAUUAAUACUUUAAAUAAUUGACGUUACUUACAAAAGAAGCACCGGCUAACUCCGUGCCAGCAGCCGCGGUAAUACGGAGGGUGCGAGCGUUAAUCAGAAUUACUGGGCGUAAAGAGCUCGUAGGCGGUAUUUUAAGUCAGAUGUGAAAUCCCUGGGCUUAACCUAGGAACUGCAUUUGAAACUGAAAUACUAGAGUUUCGUAGAGGGAGGUAGAAUUCUAGGUGUAGCGGUGAAAUGCGUANAUAUCUGGAGGAAUACCAGUGGCGAAAGCGGCCUCCUGGACGAAAACUGACGCUGAGGUGCGAAAGCGUGGGGAGCAAACAGGAUUAGAUACCCUGGUAGUCCAUGCUGUAAACGAUGUCGACUUGGAGGUUGUUUCCUUAGAGAAGUGGCUUCCGAAGCUAACGCGUUAAGUCGACCGCCUGGGGAGUACGGCCGCAAGGCUAAAACUCAAAUGAAUUGACGGGGGCCCGCACAAGCGGUGGAGCAUGUGGUUUAAUUCGAUGCAACGCGAAAAACCUUACCUGGUCUUGACAUCCAUAAAAUUUUAUAGAAAUAUAGAAGUGCCUUCGGGAAUUAUGAGACAGGUGCUGCAUGGCUGUCGUCAGCUCGUGUUGUGAAAUGUUGGGUUAAGUCCCGCAACGAGCGCAACCCUUAUCUUUUGUUGCCAGCGGUUCGGCCGGGAACUCAGAAGAGACUGCCGGUUAUAAACCGGAGGAAGGUGGGGACGACGUCAAGUCAUCAUGGCCCUUACGACCAGGGCUACACACGUGCUACAAUGGUAUAUACAAAGAGAAGCAACUCUGCAAAGAUAAGCAAACCUCAUAAAGUAUAUCGUAGUCCGGACUGGAGUCUGCAACUCGACUCCACGAAGUCGGAAUCGCUAGUAAUCGUGGAUCAGAAUGCCACGGUGAAUACGUUCCCGGGCCUUGUACACACCGCCCGUCACACCAUGGGAGUGGGUUGCAAAAGAAGCAGGUAUCCUAACCGUUUUAUUGGAAGGCGCUUACCACUUUGUGAUUCAUGACUGGGGUGAAGUCGUAA